UCUAGAGGAGAUCGUUGCACUGAAUCGUUUAUCUUAUAGAGCUUGAGCCAUGUGCCAGAAUCAUCACCAAAGUGUUCUUGGUAGUCUGUCAUCCUAAUGGCUCCGUCUCUGGAAGCUGAAACCAGAAGCCUCAGUCAUCAAGGAUGCCAUCAUCAGAUACAAAACUAA
Long non-coding RNA from Ochotona princeps (American pika), 168 nucleotides. RefSeq lists it as uncharacterized. The transcript is spliced from 3 exons. NCBI's taxonomy places the organism in Eukaryota, Metazoa, Chordata, Mammalia, Lagomorpha, Ochotonidae. The record is from RefSeq and is a predicted model, not a curated record.